GGGAAGUUUCUUUUUCCACCGAUUUAUUUAGAAUCAACAUCCUGUCACCAUCAACAUAACAAGCCAAUGAUGCAACUUAAACAGGAAAUAAGAAUGGCCAUCAGAACAACAAACAAAAAAUCCGUCAAGUUUACCACUCAAAAUGUGAGGCAGAUUAGAACUGCUAGACUAGGAUGUACUUCCAAAAGCAGAAUGAUCCAAUCACAAGUGUAAAAACUGACAACCAGAGUAAUAUUUAUGCUUCAGGGCGGGUUUUGACGAUGAAAUUCUGGCGACUGAUGGGGUUCAUGACCACUGGUGGACCGGCAGUACGAGGCCAUGCUUGGAAUUUCUUG
RNAcentral lists this unclassified non-coding RNA (335 nucleotides) under Hevea brasiliensis (rubber tree). The record is from RNAcentral. Lineage: Eukaryota; Viridiplantae; Streptophyta; Magnoliopsida; Malpighiales; Euphorbiaceae.